GUCUACGGCCAUGCCAUCCUGAAUAUGCCUGAUCUCAUCUGAUCUCAGGGUUGUUGGGGCUGGUUAGUACUUGGAUGGGAAACCAUGUAGGAAGACCAGGUGCUGUAGGCA
Molecule: ribosomal RNA, 111 nt
Filed under: Pteropus alecto (black flying fox)
Lineage: Eukaryota; Metazoa; Chordata; Mammalia; Chiroptera; Pteropodidae
Source: RNAcentral